AAAAGAGUAGGGCGCUGGCCUCAUAUGCCAGAUGUGGCGGGUUCAAACCCAGCCUCUGUUA
This 61-nucleotide transfer RNA is filed under the name Otolemur garnettii (small-eared galago). It matches the Rfam family "tRNA". Rfam says of the family: Transfer RNA (tRNA) molecules are approximately 80 nucleotides in length. The record is from Rfam by way of RNAcentral. Lineage: Eukaryota; Metazoa; Chordata; Mammalia; Primates; Galagidae.